GUUGUUCCCCGGAGCUGAUCUCAAUGUCCUCCAGAAUCAGGAGACCGACAGCGUCAGUGGCUUCAGCCUUAUCUGUCCCAGCCUGCCACUCUGUCAGAGGAAAUCAAGUUUGCCUGGCACAACCUGCUCCUUAUGAUGUCAUUGGGCUGUGAUCGGCACGUUCUGCCUUCCGAGGUAUUUGUCUUUUGGUGGCUUGAUGAAUACCUGCCAAUGCAGAGAUAAAGAGAACACAGGUUUUGUUUUUUUUUUUUCCCCUCAGAAGCAUUAGUUGGCCCUCUUCUUUCUUGUAAACUUGGGAACAGAGGUAGAGGAGCUUUGUGACCGUAAGAACCUGGUUCCAGUCUCCAUUUGCCCCUUCGACAGCUGUGUGACCUUGGGGAGGAUGCUGCAGCUCUCUGAGCCAAGGCUUAUAAAAGGAGCAAUACAACAAUAGAUGGGAAUGUUCCCAGAAGUCCUGUUUAAUUAGCUCGUUCAUCACUGUGACCAAAAGACCUGAGAAGAACAAGGUAGAGGAGGAGAAGUUUUUUAGAUUCAAGGUUUCGGAGGUUCAGUUCAUGCUUGUCAAUCCUAGCUCUGGGCCCAGGGUGAGGCAGAACAUCAUGGCGGCAGGGCAUGGCGGAGGGGCAGCCCAGGACAGGGAGGCCGGGAAACAGAGAGCCCCACUCACCAGGAAAAACAUAAACCCCAAAGGCACACCCCUGGUGUCUACUAACUCCCACCACACCCGCCGGCCUCCAACCACCACCAGUUAAUCCACAUCAGUGGAUUAAUCCACUGAUGGGGUUACACUUCUACAACGUGAUCCUUUCACCUCUGAAGACCCUGUGCUGUCUCACACAUGAGCUCUUGGGGACACCUCACUCUAGCCCAUAACAAGCCAUCGGUCCUUACCUGGAGGGAGGUGGAGGCAGGGAGGCCUGGGGAGGACCCUGGCUCAGACGCCACACCUGCUUAGGUCCUCACUCCCUUCUCCUAAACCAUGGCCCUAAGCAAGUGACCUGACUUCCGCCAGCCUAGUGGCUCCUCUGUGACACAUAGUAGGACCGGGUGUGAGUGCUAACGUCUAUAGUAGGAUGACGGGGGUUGGCAAUGUCUGUCUCGGCCCCUCUCAGACUUUCAGCGGGUGUGACCCGCGGGGCCUCUGGCAGUGCCAGCGAGGUGGGGACAGCGUGACGGGGUGAUUUACUAUCGUCCUUUUACUGUUUUGAGAUGCAACCUCAGCAUAGUGUUCUUGGCACCACCAUCUUCCUGGCAAACGCCUGCGUCUCAUCCAGACCCAGAGGCUGUUCUCUCUCUGGGAAGAGCACAGGGCCGCGUGGCCUCCAGCCCAGAGUGGCCCUGGUGGAGUGGAGGUGGCAGAGUCCCCAGCACCCGUCCCACCGCGCCUCCCCUCCCUGUCCCUCUACAUCAUCCCUGCACCUCCAGCGUGACCUUGAAUCACCUUGUCCUUGAAGAUGCUGGUUCUCCGCCUGGAAUACCCUGGCUGCCACUCUGCACCUUAGAUAAUCUGGGUGUGGCUCCAGGUCCCUGUAAAGGCCAAGAUAGAUGUCCCUACUCUGUGUCCCAGUGCAGCCUGGAGUCACCCCGUAAGCAUGAUGUUCAGGGUAUUUAAGUCCUCUGCCUCUCUGCCAGCUCGUUAUGGUACCAACCAGGCACCAGGCAGUAGGAACGGAGCCCAGGAGUCCCCAGCGAUGCCUACAGAGGGAACAAUGGAGAUCAUUCGUCCCCUGGUGUCCUCUGCCCAGCCAGCCCUCGGGUGGCAAUACCUGCACACAGACGUAGGUUCCUCCAUCCCAGCCUCUCCCCACAACCAUCUGCUUCUGGCGAUGUCACGUGGCGCCCCUCCUUUGUGCCUGUGCUCUGGUCUUGAAGCUGACAGGCUGUCUCCCCUGCACCUGCUAGGUUCCCACUUCAGUGCCACAUGGACCCAGGACAAAAGCCUCCCAGGGGUUUGAGUAGUUGGCAGGGCUUGGGGCUAGUAUUUGAGUUUGCUCUGGUGACCAUGGGCAUCCACGUGGGCCUACAGCGUCAGCUUUAGAGAAAGGCUGGGGGCCAGGAUCUGAGACAGAACGGCCUGAGUUCCAAGCCUUGGUCCUGCUUCCUACCAGCCACGUGCUGUGGGUAGCGGGUCAAGUCUCUUUGUGCCCCAUCUCCUUGUCUGGAGGUAGGGAAUAGAGUGUGCGUGCCUCACUGGACUUUUGUUGGGGAGGAAGGAGAUCAGAGCUGCGGUUACUCUUGUAACCAAUGGUAGCCUCCGCCAAGGGCCUCUACUCCGACUGUACCAGGGCCUGAACAUCUGGGAUAUUGUAUUUGUUCAUUGCUAUAAUAAAACGUGUGAGGGUAGGUACUUAUAAAGAAAAGAGGUGUAUUUAGCUCACAAUUUUGGAGGUUCAAGGGCCAGCAGUGGCAUCAGCACAGCUGUGGUGAGUCUUCAUCGUGGACGGCACCACAAGGGCAGGAGGGUGAGUGGCAGUGAGGGAGGGCACCACAGGACAGGAAGCCAGCAAGGCAGGGGUCUUUUGUAACAACUUGCUCUUGCAAGACCUCACUCAGGGCCUCAGGAGAACUGCAUCAUCCCUUCGAAGGGCAUGCCCCCGCCCGGCCCCUCGCCACCUGCCGAAGCUACCACACCGAGGACCAAGCUCCCAGCACAUGACCCCUUGGGGACAAACUCAAACCGUAGCACAUUUCCCAUCUCCAUUCUGCCAAGCAGGGCUCUGGGACUGGACAUCGGAAUCGCUCUGCGAUUUCAGGCGAGUCUCUAUGAGCCGGUGGUGCCUUCCAGGAGAGAUGGAGGCCCCUCGCACCAGACAGGAGGGAGCCCCACCUUUCCCUCCCCAGAGCAUCUCAUCGGCAGUCUGCUUGGCCCACCUCAGGGAAUAGCCCAGGGGUCAGCAAAUGACCGUCCUUGGGCUGCAUCCAGCCCCGCCCCCUGAGUCUCAAAGUUUUUCUGGACCUUGGUUCAUCUGCAUGUCGUCUGGGCUGCUUUAGCGGGACAGCCGCGGUAGUCGCACAGAGACCAUGGGGCUCGGCAGGCCGGCCAGUUCUCUGUGAUCUUAGAGGGCAAUUUGAGAUGAAAGGGUUAAAGGUGCAUGUGACGGGUAGCCCAGGGGCCCGAGCACCACGCCCGCCUCGUGCCACCCAUCCUGACAAUUGGUUGCUGGGGCCAGAUUGCAUUCCAUCCCCCAUCCCAACCCUAGCACUCACGCGCGUCCUCAAGUGCCUCCACUGUCCACGGGGAACUGGACCAAGAACUGCCGGCAGCGGGUAGAGCCCUGGUGUACCCCAGAGGGCAGCUAGAGGCCUUGGCGAGGGGCAAAGCCACUGGCCCCAUUGAUUACACCCAGUGAAAGCCACUGUCCUAUUCAACGUGUCCACUGACCACACUGUCUCCGAUCGCUCCCUGGCCAGGCCGCUCCAUGCUUGAGCUGGAGGGGUCUACAGGCCGCGUCCUCCUCUUCCUCAGGUGCCUCCACAGCCUCCCACGGCCUCAGGAUACAGCCGACGCUGGAAUACGGACACACAAGGCCUGUCCUGGUCUGGUCUCUGCUGGUCUCCCAGCCUCCUGUCCCCUACCUGCUCAGCCACGUGACCCCCAGCACUGCCACACUACUAGGGCUCCUAGACAACCCUCUAGCUUGUGGCUCCUUUGGAGUCAACACACAAUCAUCCUUCAUGGGCCACUCUGCUCCCCCGGUCCCUCUGACAAACCUCCAGGUAUCUUCAGGUCCUCUAGGUGACAUCUCCUCUAUGUGACACCCGAGCUGUCCAGGUAGCCUGGCCCCUCCAAUGUGCUUCAAUUUAGUCGUCACCAACCUUGGCUCCCAGCCCAUAAACACCCACUGGCUGAGUGAGUGAGGAGGACCCCUUUGGGAAGGUGACCAGAUGAGGAAGCGCAGGGCUGUCCUCCUCCUCGGGUUCCAGCACAGGGGACAACCCCCUCGGAGCCAGACUACUGGGUGUUAGGGUCUGUAAACAAGUCGGAUGGCGCCUGGCAUUUUGCCAGAGGGAGUGGUUUGUGAAGUAACGCCAGGGAGCCAUUAAGUGGGGAGAUUCCUUAUUGGUUGACUGCUGUAUCUAGUUUAUGCUAAUUAGAUAAGCUGUGUGGAAUGUAUAUAUACCCCUCCUGUCCUACAAUAAACGGCUCCCACUCCUGCUGUAUCAAUCUACACAAGUUCCUCGUCACCCCCUGGUUAUUUUGCUGCAGCAGGACCGCGGCAGUUGGUGGCCCGUCCAGGGAGCCCCAGGACACUCGGGGGUAAGUGACGAAAAAAAAAAGCUGCCCGUCCCUAGAUAGGACGGGAGCAAAUCUGCUCGUCCCUAAGCAGACAGGGCGAGAGAGAGAAUGACCAUUUUAAGAAAAUGGAGAAGAUUGAUACAGUAUGUUUGUGUCUUGUUUUGUCUUGAAAUGUUGUAUUGUCUUUGUGACGAAAAUAUGGAAAUAAGUAAAUUACUAAGGGAAGAAGGCACCCCAGUGGAACCAAGAAUAGUUGGGGCAUGUGUUGAUGGAAGCCCAGGAACUCUAGUCAGAAAGAAGAAAGUUCAGAGGAGGAAGGAUUAUCAGGAAAAAAGUUGCAGCAAAAGGCUAUUACUGAAUACUGGAGGGUGCAUGAAUCGGCGCGGCUGCUGCCACAUGCACGAGCCGGUCAUGGCGCAGCAAGGACUUUCCAAGGGAGCGGGACACCACUGCGAGAGCCCAAAUCCAAACCUGACCCGGAGGCACAGUCUCGCAGGCUCUUGCUCCCUGUGCCCAGUGGCAGUUUGAGUCCUGAACACUCCCCGGACUCUCCCUGGGGCCAUCUGGGGCUGCCCAGGACACUACAGGUGUCCUGGGCGUCCCUGAAGUUUGAUCAUUUCCAAGGCCAGUAACUACAAUGGUUCUCCCACACCUGGAAGCUAAUGAGUAAUGAGCACUAUUAAGGCUUAUUUCAAAUGUAAAAAACCUUGAGAUAAUGUACUAAAUUGUUCAGAAGGUUGUUUUCUUAGUGCCUGCUGGAAUACUACAGGAUUUUCUUUAACAUCAUUGCCGGAGUUCCUGCCUUCGUCCCAGUGCCGGUGAGGACGAGGGUGGAAGAAUUUCCAGUGUUGCUGAGAACCAGACGAGACUUCGAGACUUCGGAUCAAGCUAGCUGCCUGCAGAACUUACCUGGACUGUCAUUUAGGCUAGCUGCCUGCAUAACUUACCUGGACUGUGAUUUACCUGGACUGUGAGUUAAUCUAUUGAGACACUGCUUUACCUGGACUGAGACAACAAACUGUAAUCUACAACAAAUUGUAACUCGGUAUCUUUGCUAACGGUGUCAUUGCUGGUAUAAUUUUUCCAAGGGCUUCUUGCAUGGAGCCAUCAAUUGGCUUGGUAUCAUGGCAUUUUGUAUCCUCCCCUUCUGCUUGUAGAAGAUUGUGGUGUUUGUGUAAAAACCACUAUGGUCAUUAUUUAAAUUAAACAAAAGGGGGAAAUGUUAGGGUCUGUAAACAAGUCGGGAUGGCGCCUGGCAUUUUGCCAGAGGGAGUGGUUUGUGGGGUGGUGCCAGCGAGCCAUUAAGUGUGGAGAUUCCUUAUUGGUUGACUGCUGUAUCUAGUUUAUGUUAAUUAAGAUAAGCUGUGUGAAAUGUAUCUAUACCCCUCCUGUCCUACAAUAAACGGCUCCCACUCCUGCUGUAUCAAUGUACUCAAGUUGCUCGUCACCCCCCGGUUAUUUUGCUGCAGCCGGGCUGCAGCCGGACUGCGACACUGGGUGAGGUUGGCUCUCCUGUUAAUUGGCAAUGACCUGGAGCCAGUGACUUGAUCUCUCUGUGCCCCCAUUUCCUCAUCUGUAAAACAAGGGACAUAAUAGUGUCAUCUUCACAGCUUGUCAUGAACAUUAAAUGAGCCCAUACGAACCUCCAAAAUCUGAAAUGCUCCAAGAUCCGAACCUUCUUGAGCAGUCGUUAGCCCCUAAGUGGAGAAUCCCACACCAUGAAGCCUUAUUUCAUGCUCAAGAUGGCUAAGCAUAUAAAAUCACCCACAGACUAUGUGUGUGUACACUGUAAAUGAAAUAUAGACUAAUUUCAUGUUUUGAUUUGGGUUCCAUUGCCAA
Molecule: long non-coding RNA, 6076 nt
Filed under: Marmota monax (woodchuck)
Lineage: Eukaryota; Metazoa; Chordata; Mammalia; Rodentia; Sciuridae
Source: RNAcentral